Molecule: ribosomal RNA, 501 nt
Filed under: uncultured bacterium
Lineage: Bacteria
Description: bacterial SSU rRNA
Rfam family: Bacterial small subunit ribosomal RNA
Source: RNAcentral
AGUCACGAGUUUGAUCCUGGCUCAGAUUGAACGCUGGCGGCAGGCUAACACAUGCAAGUCAGGGGUAGAGUUCUUCGGGACUUGAGACCGGCGCACGGGUGCGUAACGCGUAUGCAAUCUACCUUAUACAGGGGAAUAGCCCAGAGAAAUUUGGAUUAAUGCCCCAUAGUGUUAUCGAAUCGCAUGGUUUGAUAACUAAAGUUCCAACGGUAUAAGAUGAGCAUGCGUCCCAUUAGUUAGUUGGUAAGGUAACGGCUUACCAAGACAAUGAUGGGUAGGGGUCCUGAGAGGGAGAUCCCCCACACUGGUACUGAGACACGGACCAGACUCCUACGGGAGGCAGCAGUGAGGAAUAUUGGUCAAUGGGCGCAAGCCUGAACCAGCCAUGCCGCGUGCAGGAAGACGGUCCUAUGGAUUGUAAACUGCUUUUAUACAGGAAGAAACCCUCCCACGUGUGGGAGCUUGACGGUACUGUAGGAAUAAGGAUCGGCUAACUCCGUG